ACGAACGCUGGCGGCGUGCCUAAUACAUGCAAGUCGAACGCUUCUUUCCUCCCGAGUGCUUGCACUCAAUUGGAAAGAGGAGUGGCGGACGGGUGAGUAACACGUGGGUAACCUACCCAUCAGAGGGGGAUAACACUUGGAAACAGGUGCUAAUACCGCAUAACAGUUUAUGCCGCAUGGCAUAAGAGUGAAAGGCGCUUUCGGGUGUCGCUGAUGGAUGGACCCGCGGUGCAUUAGCUAGUUGGUGAGGUAACGGCUCACCAAGGCCACGAUGCAUAGCCGACCUGAGAGGGUGAUCAGCCACACUGGGACUGAGACACGGCCCAGACUCCUACGGGAGGCAGCAGUAGGGAAUCUUCGGCAAUGGACGAAAGUCUGACCGAGCAACGCCGCGUGAGUGAAGAAGGUUUUCGGAUCGUAAAACUCUGUUGUUAGAGAAGAACAAGGACGUUAGUAACUGAAUGUCCCCUGACGGUAUCUAACCAGAAAGCCACGGCUAACUACGUG
This 507-nucleotide ribosomal RNA is filed under the name uncultured bacterium. RNAcentral's name for it is "partial 16S ribosomal RNA". It matches the Rfam family "Bacterial small subunit ribosomal RNA", at positions 29 to 507 of the family's 1533-position model. The record is from RNAcentral.